Molecule: long non-coding RNA, 514 nt
Filed under: Olea europaea subsp. europaea
Lineage: Eukaryota; Viridiplantae; Streptophyta; Magnoliopsida; Lamiales; Oleaceae
Source: RNAcentral
CUUUGUGAAGUCGUCGACCGAGUGAAUAAAGCCGAUAUCUCUGGGCGAGAAGCAGGUUGGACCAUCCUCUGGGUUUCUUCUUGGUGGAGGAUUGCGUAGCAUUGGCCAAUGGAGGGAAGGGGGUCUAUAGCCAGGAUUUGAGACCUGAGUUGUUGAAAACUGUCGUUCAGUCCCAUAAGAAAUUGAUACACCCGAUCGGAGUCUUGGAUGUCAAAAAGAGCCUUAGCUACACCACAGGUACAUGGGUUGUAAGGAUCCCAAUUCAUCCCAUAGUUCCUUCAGUUUGCUGUAGUACUUGGUGAUUGAUUGGUUCUCUUGAUGAAGAUUGGCGAGUUCUCGUUUCAGCCGAAAGAUUUUGGUGCGGUUGCUUUGUUGAAACCUUGUCUCCAAUUCUGUCCAGAGAUCAUUCGGUGUGUCACAUUAGAUGAGGCUUCCUGCAAGGGAACGGUUGAUGGAUUGAAGAAGCCGGGACAUAAUCAUAUCGUAACAUCGAUCCCAAAGUUGAGCAGCAACC